GAUGAACGCUGGCGGCGUGCCUAAUACAUGCAAGUAGAACGCUGAAGGAGGAGCUUGCUCUUCUGGAUGAGUUGCGAACGGGUGAGUAACGCGUAGGUAACCUGCCUGUUAGCGGGGGAUAACUAUUGGAAACGAUAGCUAAUACCGCAUGACAACAGUUAUUGCAUGAUAACUGUUUAAAAGGGGCAACUGCUCCACUACCAGAUGCACCUGCGUUGUAUUAGCUAGUUGGUGAGGUAACGGCUCACCAAGGCGACGAUACAUAGCCGACCUGAGAGGGUGAUCGGCCACACUGGGACGGAGACAAGGCCCAGACUCCUACGGGAGGCAGCAGUAGGGAAUCUUCGGCAAUGGACGGAAGUCUGACCGAGCAACGCCGCGUGAGUGAAGAAGGUUUUCGGAUCGUAAAGCUCUGUUGUAAGAGAAGAACGAGUGUGAGAGUGGAAAGUUCACACUGUGACGGUAUCUUACCAGAAAGGGACGGCUAACUACGU
RNAcentral lists this ribosomal RNA (494 nucleotides) under uncultured bacterium. RNAcentral describes it as "partial 16S ribosomal RNA". It matches the Rfam family "Bacterial small subunit ribosomal RNA", at positions 28 to 506 of the family's 1533-position model. The record is from RNAcentral.